UACAGAGGGUGCAAGCGUUAAUCGGAAUUACUGGGCGUAAAGCGCGCGUAGGUGGUUUGUUAAGUUGGAUGUGAAAUCCCCGGGCUCAACCUGGGAACUGCAUCCAAAACUGGCAAGCUAGAGUAUGGUAGAGGGUGGUGGAAUUUCCUGUGUAGCGGUGAAAUGCGUAGAUAUAGGAAGGAACACCAGUGGCGAAGGCGGCCACCUGGACCAGCACUGACACUGAGGCACGAAAGCGUGGGGAGCAAACAGG
Molecule: ribosomal RNA, 253 nt
Filed under: uncultured bacterium
Lineage: Bacteria
Description: partial 16S ribosomal RNA
Rfam family: Bacterial small subunit ribosomal RNA
Source: RNAcentral